Transfer RNA from Arthrobacter sp., 73 nucleotides. It matches the Rfam family "tRNA". Rfam says of the family: Transfer RNA (tRNA) molecules are approximately 80 nucleotides in length. The record is from Rfam. NCBI's taxonomy places the organism in Bacteria, Bacillati, Actinomycetota, Actinomycetes, Micrococcales, Micrococcaceae.
GCCUUCGUAGCUCAGGGGAUAGAGCGUCGGUUUCCGGUACCGUAGGUCGGGGGUUCGAAUCCCUCCGAGGGCA